Long non-coding RNA from Fukomys damarensis (Damara mole-rat), 1587 nucleotides. RefSeq lists it as uncharacterized. The transcript is spliced from 4 exons. NCBI's taxonomy places the organism in Eukaryota, Metazoa, Chordata, Mammalia, Rodentia, Bathyergidae. The record is from RefSeq and is a predicted model, not a curated record.
GAAUUUGAACCCCCGCUGCACCCAUGACCCGUUGCAGGGGAAAGGACCUGGGUUUCAAUGCGCAGCUGCAGGCUUACUGGAAAGGCAUGAAAGGCAUCUUUUCUCCCAUUUCCAUAGAACCUGGCUCCAAAUGCAGAGAUUUUCCAGCCCCAGUGUGCAUAAGAAUUAGCCAAGGCGCUGAAAAUAGCGAGUGGAGUCCUGCCCUUCCCAGACUCUCAGCUGGACGCAGGAUUCUGAAUCUUUAACAGGGACUUUAGGAGGCUCCGACGUGGAUGCUCCUGGCUCCAGAGCCGUCCAGCUUCCUGUUACGUGCACGUGUAGAUUUUAACCGACCACCUAUGGUGAGCCAGGCAGGAUCCACUACAGUUCAGUGGCCGAGCAGACGAGGACCUUUCCCCGGCAAGCUUGCAUCUGCACGGAAGCAUCCACCAUAAGCAAGCGAACGAAUCAACAAGGGAAGUGUGCUUCGACCAGCUCCAGAUCUGGCUGCUCCUGGAUCGUCCCGGGCACUCCCCUCGGCUCCCCCAGAAGAUGCCUCCUUGGCCUCGCACAGCCUCUCCUUGCUCUCCGUGGCACCUGGUCGUGAGGUACUCAUUUGCUUAGGCCUUCUCUUUUUACACGUAAGUAAUACCGUUUUUAGACAUACCGUACAGCAUCCGAAUAUGCAUUUGGUGGAUAUUAUUGCAGCCCCCAGUUCUCCCUUCCUAGCUCUAUGCCUUUGGCAGCCUCCCUGGAAGUCGCUCCCCAGGGCAGGGCAGGGCAAGGCUUCCCAGCCCUCUGAACUUGAGGCCUGCCCUGGCCAUUGAUCAAGUGACCGCUCGUGCGCUCCGAACACACAUAGGCCCCGGAGAUGGUGCAGGUUCUUCUUGCUCUCCGACUGUUGCGGUUCCCCAGGGAGCAAGGCUCAGGGCCUUGAAGAGCAGCCCGGCACGCCAGCCACACCCCGCUUGGCGCCUGAGCGGAGCUCGGCCUGGUCUCAUAGCAAGAGCCAUGGAUACAGUGAUGCGAGCAGACAGUGCCACAGCAUCAAGCGUCUGUCCCUGCCCCUCCGCUCCACUCCCGCUUCCCGGAGACUGCGCGCACUGCCAUUUCUGCGCGUGGACCCAAGACCCCGUGAGCAGCAGGGCACGCGUGGCUGCUCAGCACUUCGCUCUGUUUCACCUUCGAUCUUGGAGAGCCUUUCACAUCAUCACGGGCAGAUCUUUCCCGGGUCCAUAUGAGGCUCUCUGCUGUGCUGUUGGGGUCUCUCAUCGUGGUUUAUUUAACCAGUGCCCCACGAACGUCCACUGGGGGAGUCCAGGCUUCUCUGGCUUCAAAGGCAGCAGCAGAGCCGAGGUGGACUUGCGAAAUUGUGUCUGUGGCUGCGUUCCCCAAGAGAGCAUUGUCUGGUCUCCCGCCUCUGGGUGGCUGAGCUUGUCCAUGGCUCCUAGUGCCCGUCCAGUCCUCUAUUAUCUGUGCCGCUCCCAUCUUCAAAACCCCACACAGAGUCCAACAACGAUGACCAUCGGCCCAUCGUCCCCCUUCCUUUAGCUGUGCCCGGCCACUCACACUUCUUGAAAAGCGUGAAUGAGAGGGGAAGAGAGAGCA